Molecule: long non-coding RNA, 630 nt
Filed under: Pan troglodytes (chimpanzee)
Lineage: Eukaryota; Metazoa; Chordata; Mammalia; Primates; Hominidae
Description: lincRNA
Source: RNAcentral
CCGGCGGCGGCAGCUGCGCCGCCAAAGCCCCGGGCCCCAGCGGCCCCCCACCCCUCACUCGCGCGCUCCCACACUGCCUCCCCCUCCCCGGGGGAAGGCCUUUUAAUUUAUUUAUUCUUCUGGGACUGGGGUGGGGGUCUUGGCUGGCGGGGGAGGGGGUCUCCGCGGGCUCUACCUCCCGCGGCCGGGACUACCCUCAGAGCCGCGACCGCCGCGGCAUGCGUCCCGGGCCUGCAAAACUGUUUCCAAACUGCCCGGGCCGGAGGCGGGCACGCGGGGCCCGGGGAGAUGGCUGGGGUCUGGGGGGCCGAGGGUGUGUGUGGACGCUGGGAGCCGCGGGGGGAGGCCGGCGUCGACUCAGAGGAGUUGCAAUCGAGGUCCGGGAGUGGCGGCGGCCAAUCAGCGCGCGGCUUCCAUUUUAGCAGUAAACAGUCCUCAGCGAAGCCGCCUUUUUGCCUACCCAACCCUGGAAAGUUUGCAGAAGUGGAAGGAGCAGAACGUGAGGGUGUAACUUACAAAAAGGUUCUGGGCCGGAGAAGGGGCGACGUUCGGGCACCCCCCGAAUGGACAAUCUUUCCUUCUGUCAACGGCAGGGGCAGGCCUAGUUUGACUCUGACAGUCCUCCCACUA